Molecule: long non-coding RNA, 449 nt
Organism: Silurus meridionalis
Lineage: Eukaryota; Metazoa; Chordata; Actinopteri; Siluriformes; Siluridae
Exons: 3
Source: RefSeq, a predicted model, not a curated record
AUCCAGCAGUAUCUGAAAUCUGGAACACAAAGUGAACUUUCUCCUUCACAGUGGUCUGCUCUGGUGUUUGUGUUACUGACAUCAGCACAGGAUCUGGAGGAAUUUGACCUGAAUAAAUACAUCACUCCAGAUAAGAUCAGAGAUGAGAUUCUUGUGAGAGUGAUGUCUGUGAUUGCAGGAUCCAGAAAAGCAAUUAUCAGAUGCAGUGAAAUUACAGGAGAAGUGGAGAAGCUCUGACCUCAGUGCUCAACUCAGAAACCUCCAGUCUGAGAGAACUGCAUCUGACUGUCAAUACACUGGAUCUGACCUGGAAUAAACUAGAAGACUCAGGAGUGAAGCGUCUCUCUGCUCUACUGGAGAAUCCUGAGUGUAAAGUGAAAGAUCUGAGGUUGUGUGAUUGUGGAGUAUCAGAUGAAGGCUGUGCUGCUCUCGCUUCAGCUCUGAGAUCA